UACAGAGGGUGCGAGCGUUAAUCGGAAUUACUGGGCGUAAAGCGUGCGUAGACGGUUAUCUAAGUCGGAUGUGAAAGCCCCGGGCUCAACCUGGGAAUUGCAUUCGAGACUGAAUAGCUAGGGUACGGUAGAGGGAAGUGGAAUUUACGGUGUAGCAGUGAAAUGCGUAGAUAUCGUAAGGAAGACCAGUGGCGAAGGCGAGUCUCUGGACAGUUACCGACGCUGAGGCACGAAGGUCAGGGGAGCAAACGGG
RNAcentral lists this ribosomal RNA (253 nucleotides) under uncultured bacterium. RNAcentral describes it as "partial 16S ribosomal RNA". It matches the Rfam family "Bacterial small subunit ribosomal RNA", at positions 524 to 776 of the family's 1533-position model. The record is from RNAcentral.